CCUGGGCCAACACUGACGCUCAUGCACGAAAGCGUGGGGAGCAAACAGGAUUAGAUACCCUGGUAGUCCACGCCCUAAACGAUGUCAACUAGUUGUUGGGGAUUCAUUUCCUUAGUAACGUAGCUAACGCGUGAAGUUGACCGCCUGGGGAGUACGGUCGCAAGAUUAAAACUCAAAGGAAUUGACGGGGACCCGCACAAGCGGUGGAUGAUGUGGAUUAAUUCGAUGCAACGCGAAAAACCUUACCUACCCUUGACAUGGUCGGAACCCUGCUGAAAGGUGGGGGUGCUCGAAAGAGAACCGGCGCACAGGUGCUGCAUGGCUGUCGUCAGCUCGUAUCGUGAGAUGUUGGGUUAAGUCCCGCAACGAGCGCAACCCUUGUCCUUAGUUGCUACGCAAGAGCACUCUAAGGAGACUGCCGGUGACAAACCGGAGGAAGGUGGGGAUGACGUCAAGUCCUCAUGGCCCUUAUGGGUAGGGCUUCACACGUCAUACAAUGGUCGGAACAGAGGGUUGCCAAGCCGCGAGGUGGAGCCAAUCCCAGAAAACCGAUCGUAGUCCGGAUCGCAGUCUGCAACUCGACUGCGUGAAGCUGGAAUCGCUAGUAAUCGCGGAUCAGCAUGCCGCUUAAUACGUUCCCGGGUCUUGUACACACCGCCCGCCUCGCCUUGAGUGGGUUUCACCAGAAGUAGGUAGCCUAACCGCAAGGAGGGCGCAUAAU
This 721-nucleotide ribosomal RNA is filed under the name Burkholderia sp. GF23. RNAcentral describes it as "bacterial SSU rRNA". It matches the Rfam family "Bacterial small subunit ribosomal RNA", at positions 728 to 1458 of the family's 1533-position model. The record is from RNAcentral. Lineage: Bacteria; Pseudomonadati; Pseudomonadota; Betaproteobacteria; Burkholderiales; Burkholderiaceae.